UACGUAGGGGGCUAGCGUUAUCCGGAAUUACUGGGCGUAAAGGGUGCGUAGGUGGUUUCUUAAGUCAGAGGUGAAAGGCUACGGCUCAACCGUAGUAAGCCUUUGAAACUGGGAAACUUGAGUGCAGGAGAGGAGAGUGGAAUUCCUAGUGUAGCGGUGAAAUGCGUAGAUAUUAGGAGGAACACCAGUUGCGAAGGCGGCUCUCUGGACUGUAACUGACACUGAGGCACGAAAGCGUGGGGAGACAAACAGGAUUAGAUACCCGCGUAGUCCCUGAGCGGG
RNAcentral lists this ribosomal RNA (282 nucleotides) under uncultured prokaryote. RNAcentral's name for it is "partial 16S ribosomal RNA". It matches the Rfam family "Bacterial small subunit ribosomal RNA", at positions 524 to 803 of the family's 1533-position model. The record is from RNAcentral.